GAUGAACGCUGACAGAAUGCUUAACACAUGCAAGUCCUACUUGAUCCUUCGGGUGAUGGUGGCGGACGGGUGAGUAACGCGUAAAGAACUUGCCCUGCAGUCUGGGACAACAUUUGGAAACGAAUGCUAAUACCGGAUAUUAUGCGAGAUUCGCAUGUUUCUCGUAUGAAAGCUAUAUGCGCUGCAGGAGAGCUUUGCGUCCUAUUAGCUAGUUGGUGAGGUAACGGCUCACCAAGGCGAUGAUAGGUAGCCGGCCUGAGAGGGUGAACGGCCACAAGGGGACUGAGACACGGCCCUUACUCCUACGGGAGGCAGCAGUGGGGAAUAUUGGACAAUGGACCAGAAGUCUGAUCCAGCAAUUCUGUGUGCACGAUGAAGUUUUUCGGAAUGUAAAGUGCUUUCAGUUGGGACGAAGUAAGUGACGGUACCAACAGAAGAAGCGACGGCUAAAUACGUGCCAGCAGCCGCGGUAAUACGUAUGUCGCAAGCGUUAUCCGGAUUUAUUGGGCGUAAAGCGCGUCUAGGCGGUUUGGUAAGUCUGAUGUGAAAAUGCGGGGCUCAACUCCGUAUUGCGUUGGAAACUGUCAAACUAGAGUACUGGAGAGGUGGGCGGAACUACAAGUGUAGAGGUGAAAUUCGUAGAUAUUUGUAGGAAUGCCGAUGGGGAAGCCAGCCCACUGGACAGAUACUGACGCUAAAGCGCGAAAGCGUGGGUAGCAAACAGGAUUAGAUACCCUGGUAGUCCACGCCGUAAACGAUGAUUACUAGGUGUUGGGGGUCGAACCUCAGCGCCCAAGCUAACGCGAUAAGUAAUCCGCCUGGGGAGUACGUACGCAAGUAUGAAACUCAAAGGAAUUGACGGGGACCCGCACAAGCGGUGGAGCAUGUGGUUUAAUUCGACGCAACGCGAGGAACCUUACCAGCGUUUGACAUCCUAGGAAGUUGGCAGAGAUGCCUUCGUGCCCCUUCGGGGGAACCUAGUGACAGGUGGUGCAUGGCUGUCGUCAGCUCGUGUCGUGAGAUGUUGGGUUAAGUCCCGCAACGAGCGCAACCCCUUUCGUAUGUUGCCAUCAUUAAGUUGGGAACUCAUGCGAUACUGCCUGCGAUGAGCAGGAGGAAGGUGGGGAUGACGUCAAGUCAUCAUGCCCCUUAUACGCUGGGCUACACACGUGCUACAAUGGGUAGUACAGAGAGUCGCUAACCUGCGAGGGGGAGCUAAUCUCAGAAAACUAUUCUCAGUUCGGAUUGUACUCUGCAACCCGAGUACAUGAAGUUGGAAUCGCUAGUAAUCGCAAAUCAGCCAUGUUGCGGUGAAUACGUUCUCGGGUCU
RNAcentral lists this ribosomal RNA (1330 nucleotides) under uncultured bacterium. RNAcentral describes it as "bacterial SSU rRNA". It matches the Rfam family "Bacterial small subunit ribosomal RNA", at positions 28 to 1381 of the family's 1533-position model. The record is from RNAcentral.